RNAcentral lists this ribosomal RNA (245 nucleotides) under uncultured bacterium. RNAcentral describes it as "partial 16S ribosomal RNA". It matches the Rfam family "Bacterial small subunit ribosomal RNA", at positions 28 to 273 of the family's 1533-position model. The record is from RNAcentral.
GACGAACGCUGGCGGCGUGCUUAACACAUGCAAGUCGAGCGGUAAGGCCCUUUCGGGGGUACGACGAGCGGCGAACGGGUGAGUAACACGUGGGUGACCUGCCCUCAGCUCUGGGAUAAGCCUGGGAAACCGGGUCUAAUACCGGACAUGACUCCAUGACGCAUGUUGUGGGGUGGAAAGCCUUGUGCGGCUGAGGAUGGGCCCGCGGCCUAUCAGCUUGUUGGUGGGGGGAUGGCCUACCAAGG